UGCCCAAGAGAUCGGGAUAACACCUGGAAACAGAUGCUAAUACCGGAUAACAACAGAUGAUGCCUAUCAACUGUUUAAAAGAUGGUUCUGCUAUCACUCUUGGAUGGACCUGCGGUGCAUUAGCUAGUUGGUAGGGUAACGGCCUACCAAGGCGAUGAUGCAUAGCCGAGUUGAGAGACUGAUCGGCCACAUGGGACUGAGACACGGCCCAAACUCCUACGGGAGGCAGCAGC
RNAcentral lists this ribosomal RNA (233 nucleotides) under uncultured Lactobacillus sp. RNAcentral describes it as "partial 16S ribosomal RNA". It matches the Rfam family "Bacterial small subunit ribosomal RNA", at positions 127 to 355 of the family's 1533-position model. Lineage: Bacteria; Bacillati; Bacillota; Bacilli; Lactobacillales; Lactobacillaceae. The record is from RNAcentral.